AUAGCUUUCAUUUGUCCCCACGAUUAGGCGCCAUUUUGAAUAAGUUAAGAAUAAGGGAAAGAAAUAUGUAGCUUAAAGAUAGUCCGUCGGCCUUGGAGAUAAUAGAAACUGCAGAUGUUAGAGAAUCCGACAUAACAAAGUGUAGAGAUAAUGGGAACUGCAGUUGCUGGAGAAUCCAAGAUAACAAAGUGUGGAGCUGGAUGAACACAGCAGGCCAAGCAGCAUCCUAGCAGCACAAAAGCUGACAUUUCGGGCCUAGACCCUUCAACACCAGCGCUACACUUUGUUAUCUCCGUCGGUCUUGAGUCAGCUUGAAAUGUUUAAAAUUGUGAGUGUCAUACGUAGGGUAGAAGGAAGAAACGUUUCCCUUCGAUGCAGGGAUAAAUGACCAUCGGGUAUAGAUGUAAGGUGAAGGAACACACUCUCCCAUUUCAAGUUCUGCAAACCAGUUUGAGGAAAGGAAUCAUGACAAAAGCUUACAACAGAUCCAGGAUCUCAAAAAACAAAUGGUCAACUACCAGUGCUAUUCGUAACCUCCACUACAACAGCUGCAGUGUUCAACUAUCCAAUCCUUGUAAAUGAUUAAGAGACUGACCUGUAUACAAUUUCAUUAACUUCUCUGUUUUUGGACUUAACUGUGUAUAUGUACUGUAUUACUAAAUUCGUAAUUAAUAAUCUCAUCCUCUGUUCAUUAAAAUAAGUCUGAUUAAAUUGGC
Long non-coding RNA from Stegostoma tigrinum, 716 nucleotides. RefSeq lists it as uncharacterized. NCBI's taxonomy places the organism in Eukaryota, Metazoa, Chordata, Chondrichthyes, Orectolobiformes, Stegostomatidae. The record is from RefSeq and is a predicted model, not a curated record. The transcript has 2 exons.